CGUAGGGGGCAAGCGUUGUCCGGAUUUAUUGGGCGUAAAGAGCGUGUAGGUGGCCAUGUAGGUCCGCUGUGAAAACUCGAGGCUCAACCUCGAGAUGUCGGUGGAAACCACAUGGCUAGAGUCCGGAAGAGGAGAGUGGAAUUCCUGGUGUAGCGGUGAAAUGCGCAGAUAUCAGGAAGAACACCAAUGGCGAAGGCAGCUCUCUGGGACGGUACUGACACUGAGACGCGAAAGCGUGGGGAGCGGACAGGAUUAGAUACCCUGGUAGUCCACGCUGUAAACGAUGGGUGCUAGGUGUGGGCGGUGUCGACUCCGUCCGUGCCGAAGCUAACGCAUUAAGCACCCCGCCUGGGGAGUACGGCCGCAAGGCUA
Molecule: ribosomal RNA, 372 nt
Filed under: uncultured organism
Description: bacterial SSU rRNA
Rfam family: Bacterial small subunit ribosomal RNA
Source: RNAcentral